This 448-nucleotide ribosomal RNA is filed under the name uncultured bacterium. RNAcentral's name for it is "partial 16S ribosomal RNA". It matches the Rfam family "Bacterial small subunit ribosomal RNA", at positions 29 to 523 of the family's 1533-position model. The record is from RNAcentral.
AACGAACGCUGGCGGCAUGCCUAACACAUGCAAGUCGAACGAAGGCUUCGGCCUUAGUGGCGCACGGGUGAGUAACGCGUGGGAACCUGCCCUUCGGUACGGAAUAACGUCGGGAAACUGACGCUAAUACCGUAUAUGUCUCUGGAUGAAAGAUUUAUCGCCGGAGGAGGGGCCCGCGUCUGAUUAGCUAGUUGGUGAGGUAAUGGCUCACCAAGGCGACGAUCAGUAGCUGGUCUGAGAGGAUGAUCAGCCACACUGGGACUGAGACACGGCCCAGACUCCUACGGGAGGCAGCAGUGGGGAAUAUUGGACAAUGGGGGCAACCCUGAUCCAGCAAUGCCGCGUGAGUGAUGAAGGCCUUCGGGUUGUAAAGCUCUUUUGCCAGGGACGAUGAUGACGGUACCUGGAGAAUAAGCCCCGGCUAACUUCGUGCCAGCCGCCGCAGUAA